GCGGCCGUAGUCUAGCCAGGUAGGACUCAGGCUCCCCGGGCCUGAUGCGCGGGUUCAAAUCCCGCCGGCCGCA
RNAcentral lists this transfer RNA (73 nucleotides) under Hadesarchaea archaeon. RNAcentral's name for it is "tRNA-Gly". It matches the Rfam family "tRNA". From Rfam's summary of the family: Transfer RNA (tRNA) molecules are approximately 80 nucleotides in length. Their secondary structure includes four short double-helical elements and three loops (D, anti-codon, and T loops). RNAcentral also lists the same sequence under 1 other name. Lineage: Archaea; Methanobacteriati; Hadarchaeota (SeqCode); Hadarchaeia (SeqCode). The record is from RNAcentral.